RNAcentral lists this long non-coding RNA (1132 nucleotides) under Felis catus (domestic cat). Its description in RNAcentral is "lncRNA (ENSFCAG00000052862.1)". The record is from RNAcentral. Lineage: Eukaryota; Metazoa; Chordata; Mammalia; Carnivora; Felidae.
AUAAUGAACUUAAUAUUUGGACAUGUGACCAGGUACAAAUGGAGGAAGCCAGAAUUGUGGUGACUUUGUAGUGCUAUUAUUACUCUCCCUCCAUGGCCUGGGACACAGUUUAGAAGGUGAAGCAGGCAAUCAGUAGGCACUGAAGUUAAUCUUUUCCUUUUUCUAGUCCAGGCUACUGAUAGCCUAUAAACCUUAAUCUCAAAUGUGACAUCGACUAAACACAUACCAUGCUCCUAUGAGAAGGAAUAAAUCUGUUUGGAAAGUAAAAUAUACUCUUUGGAGAAUAUAUUAAUAGGAGUGCUAUUUUUUCUCUACAGGGAAUGAAAGGUUUCUGAAAUUCUCUACCUAGGAGGAGUUAGAGGAAGACUUUCUGGCUAAGUAGAAGAAGCACACCCACUAAGAGAGAACCCAGUGCAGUGACCAGCACAGCUUGUGGAACCUGACACCCUUGACUCCUGGGAACGUGGAAGGAGUUGCUGCUCUAUGAAUUCCAUCAUUUUCUCAGGGUGUCUGUCUUUUUCUCCUAACUGCCUGCUUCUACUUAGAAAAUUCAAGCCUUCAGAUGCUGUUGCACUUAUCACUUUGCUCAAGCUUCUCCAAAGCUCCCCACUAUCAAAGGACUUAAACUUCAAGCUUCCUUCUUUCCUUGUCUACUCUUCCUUCACUGUAGGAUGUCUCCCUCACCCCCUGAAAAUCCCCUCUAUACAUCCUGUCAUCUCUGUUAUUAUUUAUAUCUCUGUUAUUAUUUAUAUCCUGAUUCUGCCCUGAGUGACCCUAAAAAUCCAAAGACUCCCAUAUGUAAAAAUAUCCUUCAGAGUUGAGCAAAGAUCAGCACCUGAAAGAGAAAUUUUGGUGACAAAGGGACUAUUAAAAUGGUCCAUCAGACAAAUUCUUUAAAAAUAUGAAUAUCGGGGCGCCUGGGUGGCGCAGUCGGUUAGCGUCCGAUUUCAGCCAGGUCACGAUCUCGCGGUCUUGAGUUCGAGCCCCGCGUCAGGCUCUGGGCUGAUGGCUCAGAGCCUGGAGCCUGUUUCCGAUUCUGUGUCUCCCUCUCUCUCUGCCCCUCCCCCGUUCAUGCUCUGUCUCUCUCUGUCCCAAAAAUAAAUAAAAACGCUGAAAAAAAAAUUUAAAAAUA